Molecule: ribosomal RNA, 253 nt
Filed under: uncultured bacterium
Lineage: Bacteria
Description: partial 16S ribosomal RNA
Rfam family: Bacterial small subunit ribosomal RNA
Source: RNAcentral
UACAGAGGUGCCGAGCGUUAGGCGGAAUCACUGGGCUUAAAGCGUGUGUAGGCGGAUGCCUAAGUACCUUGUGAAAUCCCCCGGCUUAACCGGGGAACUGCUUGGUAUACUGGGUGUCUUGAGCCACUUAGGGGCGACCGGAACAAACGGUGGAGCGGUGAAAUGCGUAGAUAUCAUUUGGAACGCCAAUGGUGAAAACAGCUCGCUGGGGGUGUGCUGACGCUGAGACACGAAAGCCAGGGGAGCGAACGGG